Molecule: ribosomal RNA, 617 nt
Filed under: uncultured bacterium
Lineage: Bacteria
Description: bacterial SSU rRNA
Rfam family: Bacterial small subunit ribosomal RNA
Source: RNAcentral
CCUACGGGAGGCGGCAGUGGGGAAUUUUGGACAAUGGGCGAAAGCCUGAUCCAGCAAUGCCGCGUGAGUGAAGAAGGCCUUCGGGUUGUAAAGCUCUUUUGUCAGGGAAGAAACGGUGCGGGCUAAUAUCCUGCACUAAUGACGGUACCUGAAGAAUAAGCACCGGCUAACUACGUGCCAGCAGCCGCGGUAAUACGUAGGGUGCAAGCGUUAAUCGGAAUUACUGGGCGUAAAGCGUGCGCAGGCGGUUUUGUAAGUCUGUCGUGAAAUCCCCGGGCUCAACCUGGGAAUUGCGAUGGAGACUGCAAGGCUAGAAUCUGGCAGAGGGGGGUAGAAUUCCACGUGUAGCAGUGAAAUGCGUAGAGAUGUGGAGGAACACCGAUGGCGAAGGCAGCCCCCUGGGUCAAGAUUGACGCUCAUGCACGAAAGCGUGGGGAGCAAACAGGAUUAGAUACCCUGGUAGUCCACGCCCUAAACGAUGUCUACUAGUUGUCGGGUUUUAAUUAACUUGGUAACGCAGCUAACGCGUGAAGUAGACCGCCUGGGGAGUACGGUCGCAAAGNUUAAAACUCAAAGGAUUGACGGCUGAGAGNGCGAGACGACGACGAGGGAGGAGG